GGGGGCCCUGCCUUUAAAAUACAUCUCUCUGGGGGACAUGACACCAAAGCUAAGAGUCCAAUCAAGCAGGAGAGACCAGCCUCCCUGUACCCAGCUGUGUGUCCAUGAAGAGUGACAGGUCUAUGGGUCUACCUAUAAAGUUUAGAGAGGGGAGACUUUUCUACUGAACAAAG
Non-coding RNA from Salmo salar (Atlantic salmon), 173 nucleotides. The record is from RefSeq and is a predicted model, not a curated record. NCBI's taxonomy places the organism in Eukaryota, Metazoa, Chordata, Actinopteri, Salmoniformes, Salmonidae.